RNAcentral lists this signal recognition particle RNA (300 nucleotides) under Microcebus murinus (gray mouse lemur). RNAcentral describes it as "Metazoan signal recognition particle RNA (ENSMICG00000042463.1)". It matches the Rfam family "Metazoan signal recognition particle RNA". Rfam says of the family: The signal recognition particle (SRP) is a universally conserved ribonucleoprotein. It is involved in the co-translational targeting of proteins to membranes. Lineage: Eukaryota; Metazoa; Chordata; Mammalia; Primates; Cheirogaleidae. The record is from Rfam by way of RNAcentral.
GCCGGACGCGGUGGCGCGCGCCUGUAGUCCCAGCUACUCGGGAGGCUGAGAUGGGAGGAUCGCUUGAGCCCAGGAGUUCUGGGCUGUAGUGCGCUAUGCCGAUCGGGUGUCCGCACUAAGUUCGGCAUCAAUAUGGUGACUUCCCGGGAGCGGGGGACCACCAGGUUGCCUAAGGAGGGGUGAACCGGCCCAGGUCGGAAACGGAGCAGGUCAAAACUCCCGUGCUGAUCAGUAGUGGGAUCGCGCCUGUGAAUAGCCACUGCACUCCAGCCUGGGCAACAUAGCGAGACCCCGUCUCUU